UACGGAGGGUGCAAGCGUUAAUCGGAAUUACUGGGCGUAAAGCGCACGCAGGCGGUCUGUUAAGUCAGAUGUGAAAUCCCCGGGCUUAACCUGGGAACUGCAUUUGAAACUGGCAGGCUUGAGUCUUGUAGAGGGGGGUAGAAUUCCAGGUGUAGCGGUGAAAUGCGUAGAGAUCUGGAGGAAUACCGGUGGCGAAGGCGGCCCCCUGGACAAAGACUGACGCUGAGGAGCGAAAGCGUGGGGAGCGAACAGG
This 253-nucleotide ribosomal RNA is filed under the name uncultured bacterium. Its description in RNAcentral is "partial 16S ribosomal RNA". It matches the Rfam family "Bacterial small subunit ribosomal RNA", at positions 524 to 776 of the family's 1533-position model. The record is from RNAcentral.